This 501-nucleotide ribosomal RNA is filed under the name uncultured bacterium. RNAcentral's name for it is "partial 16S ribosomal RNA". It matches the Rfam family "Bacterial small subunit ribosomal RNA", at positions 30 to 523 of the family's 1533-position model. The record is from RNAcentral.
AUUGAACGCUGGCGGCAGGCUUAACACAUGCAAGUCGAGCGGAGAUGAGGUGCUUGCACCUUAUCUUAGCGGCGGACGGGUGAGUAAUGCUUAGGAAUCUGCCUAUUAGUGGGGGACAACAUUCCGAAAGGAAUGCUAAUACCGCAUACGUCCUACGGGAGAAAGCAGGGGAUCUUCGGACCUUGCGCUAAUAGAUGAGCCUAAGUCGGAUUGGCUUGUUGGUGGGGUAAAGGCCUACCAAGGCGACGAUCUGUAGUGGGUCUGAGAGGAUGAUCCGCCACACUGGGACUGGGACACGGCCCAGACUCCGACGGGAGGCAGCAGUGGGGAAUAUUGGAGAAUGGGGGGAACCCUGAUCCAGCCAUGCCGCGUGUGUGAAGAAGGCCUUAUGGUUGUAAAGCACUUGAAGCGAGGAGGAGGCUACUGAGACUAAUACUCUUGGAUAGUGGACGUUACUCGCAGAAUAAGCACCGGCUAACUCUGUGCCAGCCGCCGCGGUAA